ACUGGCAGGCUAGAGUCUUGUAGAGGGGGGUAGAAUUCCAGGUGUAGCGGUGAAAUGCGUAGAGAUCUGGAGGAAUACCGGUGGCGAAGGCGGCCCCCUGGACAAAGACUGACGCUCAGGUGCGAAAGCGUGGGGAGCAAACAGGAUUAGAUACCCUGGUAGUCCACGCCGUAAACGAUGUCGAUUUGGAGGUUGUGCCCUUGAGGCGUGGCUUCCGGAGCUAACGCGUUAAAUCGACCGCCUGGGGAGUACGGCCGCAAGGUUAAAACUCAAAUGAAUUGACGGGGGCCCGCACAAGCGGUGGAGCAUGUGGUUUAAUUCGAUGCAACGCGAAGAACCUUACCUGGUCUUGACAUCCACAGAACUUUCCAGAGAUGGAUUGGUGCCUUCGGGAACUGUGAGACAGGUGCUGCAUGGCUGUCGUCAGCUCGUGUUGUGAAAUGUUGGGUUAAGUCCCGCAACGAGCGCAACCCUUAUCCUUUGUUGCCAGCGGUUCGGCCGGGAACUCA
RNAcentral lists this ribosomal RNA (509 nucleotides) under Klebsiella pneumoniae. RNAcentral's name for it is "bacterial SSU rRNA". It matches the Rfam family "Bacterial small subunit ribosomal RNA", at positions 632 to 1141 of the family's 1533-position model. The record is from RNAcentral. Lineage: Bacteria; Pseudomonadati; Pseudomonadota; Gammaproteobacteria; Enterobacterales; Enterobacteriaceae.